This 494-nucleotide ribosomal RNA is filed under the name uncultured bacterium. RNAcentral describes it as "partial 16S ribosomal RNA". It matches the Rfam family "Bacterial small subunit ribosomal RNA", at positions 30 to 506 of the family's 1533-position model. The record is from RNAcentral.
UGAACGCUGGCGGCGUGCCUCAUACAUGCAAGUCGAGCGAACGGACGAGAAGCUUGCUUCUCUGAUGUUAGCGGCGGACGGGUGAGUAACACGUGGAUAACCUACCUAUAAGACUGGGAUAACUUCGGGAAACCGGAGCUAAUACCGGAUGAUAUUUUGAACCGCAUGGUUCAAAAGUGAAAGACGGUCUUGCUGUCACUUAUAGAUGGAUCCGCGCUGCAUUAGCUAGUUGGUAAGGUAACGGCUUACCAAGGCAACGAUGCAUAGCCGACCUGAGAGGGUGAUCGGCCACACUGGAACUGAGACACGGUCCAGACUCCUACGGGAGGCAGCAGUAGGGAAUCUUCCGCAAUGGGCGAAAGCCUGACGGAGCAACGCCGAGUGAGUGAUGAAGGUCUUCGGAUCGUAAAACUCUGUUAUUAGGGAAGAACAUAUGUGUAAGUAACUGUGCACAUCUUGACGGUACCUAAUCAGAAAGCCACGGCUAACUACGU